RNAcentral lists this ribosomal RNA (253 nucleotides) under uncultured Latescibacterota bacterium. Its description in RNAcentral is "uncultured Latescibacteria bacterium partial 16S ribosomal RNA". It matches the Rfam family "Bacterial small subunit ribosomal RNA", at positions 1130 to 1382 of the family's 1533-position model. Lineage: Bacteria; Pseudomonadati; Candidatus Latescibacterota. The record is from RNAcentral.
UGGGAACGUCUGGGGAGGACUGCCGGUGAUAAACCGGAGGAAGGCGGGGAUGACGUCAAGUCCUCAUGGCCCUUACAUCCCGGGCUACACACGUGCUACAAUGGCAGGUACAGAGGGCUGCGAAGCCGCGAGGUGGAGCGAAUCCCAGAAAACCUGUCUCAGUCCGGAUUGAAGUCUGCAACUCGACUUCAUGAAGGCGGAAUCGCUAGUAACCGCGAAUCAGCAGGUCGCGGUGAAUACGUUCCCGGGCCUU